Molecule: ribosomal RNA, 146 nt
Filed under: Pteropus alecto (black flying fox)
Lineage: Eukaryota; Metazoa; Chordata; Mammalia; Chiroptera; Pteropodidae
Source: RNAcentral
GUCUACAGCCAUGCCACCCUGAACUCGCCCGAUCUCAUCUGAUCUUGGAAGCUAAGCAGGGUCGUCUGAUCUCGGAAGCUAAGCAGUGUCGGGCCUGGUUAGUACUUGGAUGGGAGACCACCUAGGAAGAGCAGGUGCUGUAGGUG